GAUGAACGCUGGCGGCGUGCCUAAUACAUGCAAGUCGAGCGAACAGACGAGGAGUUUGCUCCUCUGACGUUAGCGGCGGACGGGUGAGUAACACGUGGAUAACCUACCUAUAAGACUGGGAUAACUUCGGGAAACCGGCGCUAAUACCGGAUAAUAUAUUGAACCGCAUGUUUCAAUAGUGAAAGACGGUUUUGCUGUCACUUAUAGAUGGAUCCGCGCCGCAUUAGCUAGUUGUUAAGGUAACGGCUUACCAAGGCAACGAUGCGUAGCCGACCUGAGAGGGUGAUAGGCCACACUGGAACUGAGACACGGUCCAGACUCCUACGGGAGGAAGCAGUAGGGAAUCUUCCGAAAUGGGCGAAAGCCUGAAGGAGCAACGCCGCGUGAGUGAGGAAGGUCUUCAGAUCGUAAAACUCUGUUAUUAGGGAAGAACAAAUGUGUAAGUAGCUAUGCACGUCUUGACGGUACCUAGUCAGAAAGCCACGGCUAACUACGUG
This 497-nucleotide ribosomal RNA is filed under the name uncultured bacterium. RNAcentral describes it as "partial 16S ribosomal RNA". It matches the Rfam family "Bacterial small subunit ribosomal RNA", at positions 28 to 507 of the family's 1533-position model. The record is from RNAcentral.